This 2207-nucleotide long non-coding RNA is filed under the name Macaca mulatta (Rhesus monkey). RNAcentral describes it as "lncRNA (ENSMMUG00000059048.1)". Lineage: Eukaryota; Metazoa; Chordata; Mammalia; Primates; Cercopithecidae. The record is from RNAcentral.
CUCUGCUCACACCAGAUUGGCGGGACGGCCUCACGUGACCGCAUCUCUUGGACUCUCGAUGUUACCGAAAAGGAGGAAAGGAUUUGGGGCGGGCAGUCCUGGAGCCUCUCGCUGGCCUUACGGAGAGAGAGGGCUGGGGUGGAGGAGAGCCCUGGGGAGCAGGCAGAGUUUGGUGACAAGGAUGGGACACCUUGAGUGAGCCUUUCCACUGGGCAAAUUGGAGGAUGUGUAGCCAUCUUCGGUCAGACAAGAGGCCCUGUUUGCUGAAGUCUUUCUUCAACACUUUGACUCAGACAUUCUCUCUGGGACCCCUGAGCCCAUCUAACCUCCAGUCCGUCCAUCAACUGAUUACUGCUCAGUCACCUCAGUCGAUACCACUGGGAGUGGGAGAACUGCCUAGCUGAGCCCUGCCUGAAUGCCUGACUCAUAACUCAUGGUGUAAGUGAAAGUGAAUACCCAGCCACACCCAGAUAAAGACCUAGACAGAAGCCCAGGGGUCUGUUUCUCCCACCCCUGCCACACCUCCAAAGGCACUUGCUAUCUUUUUUUUUUUUUUUGAGACAGAGUCUCUCUGUCGCCCAGGCUGGAGCGCAGUGGCGUGAUCUCGGCUCACUGCAAGCUCCGCCUCCUGGGUUCACGCCAUUCUCCUGCCUCCGCCUCCCGAGUAGCUGGGACUACAGGCGCCUGCCACCACGCCCGACUAAGUUUUUUGUAUUUUUAAUGGAGACAGGGUUUCACCAUGUUAGCCAGGAUGGUCUUGAUCUCCUGACCUCGUGAUCUGCCCACUUUGGCUUCCCAAAGUGCUGGGAUUACAGGCAUGAGCCACCGCGCCCUGCCAACCUGCUGUCUUGACCUUCAUGAUCCGUAGCACAGUGCACUCCUAAAUAUUGCGUAUGCGUCCCUAAACAACAUACUGUAUCCGUAACAUUUAAAACCUUAUUGAUUGUGAAGUGUGCCAUUAUCUUACUUACCAAUAAGGAAAAAUGAUGCAAUUAAACUGACACUUUUUGAUUAGAAUUUUCAUUUUAUGCUUAUUAAAAAGCAUACUUAUCGCUUGUAACUUACUAACCCAAGCUGAUGCCUCACACAUACACGAAAACAGAUUGAAAAUUCUUAAGCAGCUCAAACUGCCAAAAAGGCCAGCUGUGCAGCUGGACUCAGCCAGACACUCAGCAGUGGCACCAGCAGCUCCUCUGUAUGAGCUAUGAUGAGGCUCUGGAAGUUUGAAGAUGAUGCCACCUAUUGGCUAAUGAGGUCAAAUGGUCUUGACUUUUGUGGUAAUUAUGAUGCUAAGAGUGCCAGCCAUCUGUAAGAAAGCCCAGAAAGAGUGGAGAUGCACUAUGCUAAGAAAUUCUCAAUGGCCAGCACUCUUUUUGCAUAGAGAAUGAUACAGCAAGGGGAGACACAGACACAGACAAUCUGGGUCAAAAGUGAUGCGGAGAAUGUGGAGCCCAAUUAGGAAGAGGUUUUAAGACUACCUGAACCAGAAUAUUUUGCUUAAUUUUUCUUUUUUAAUGCACGCACAAGCAUAAUGUAUAAUAAAAGCUGUGUGCACACACAUCAUAAAUUUUCUUUUUAAUAAGCAUAAAAUGAAAAUUCUAAUCAAGAAAGUGUUUUUUCGUUUAACUGCAUCAUUUUUCAUUAUCUGUGUGUAAGAUUAUUACAUACUUCAUAUUCAAUAGAGUUUAAAUGUGUUAACUAAAAAAAUCAUGAAUCUAUAAAUGUAGGGAGAAGCCUUUAUUUCUUAUAAGGGUUAGAGUCUGUAAGGGGGCCAUUCCUCAGGCUGGGAAGCAUAGCGUCUGGCAAAGCCCACAGGUAUUUUCAAAGAGGAGGGGCUGAGAUAGGAGCUUUGUGCCCAACAGGUUGGCUGAACAUACAUAUUCAACAGCUUACAGGAGGAGCUAUGAAUAAUCAUGAAAACCAUCCUGAUGCAUGCGUAUUGAACCAUAGGUAUGUAACCUAUGACCUAUUCCACCCUGGGUAGGAGACUUAGCAUUUAAAUGUAUUACAAUUAGGCCCUAUAUGUGAAAAGAUCUUUUCAGGACCUGAAGGCAGCCUCUGUAAACCGGCCAGAACCAGUCUGUGGUGGUUGGUCUUCUUAUCUGGGGAAAGUUACUGAAAUCUAUUUCUUAUCCAAUCAAAGCUGUAGUUAUGGCUGAUGAAACAGCAGGCUCAGUUAGUCAUUGUCUAGUGGUGAGUUACAAAUU